This is a long non-coding RNA of Pteropus alecto (black flying fox), 1345 nucleotides long. RefSeq lists it as uncharacterized. The record is from RefSeq and is a predicted model, not a curated record. Lineage: Eukaryota; Metazoa; Chordata; Mammalia; Chiroptera; Pteropodidae. The transcript has 2 exons.
CUGCUCUCUGAUGGGGUAGGGGAAGCUGCUGAGGACAGGAAGGGCCAGCAGGGAGGUGGCAGGAUGUGCGGAGGCUGAGGAAGUCCAGGCAGUGGCCAGGUCAUCACACUCACAGGGCAGGGGCCCCUCUCAGCAACCGCAGCCACCAUCCCUAGCAACUCAGUCCACACCACUCACUUUAGGAAAGGGGAGAGGCGCAUGCACAACACCCUCCGCUCAACUCCCCUCUCCCACCAGCUGUCAGAGCUUCCCUAAGGCGCUAGCUAGAAACCAAAAGCAGCCCUGCCCUUCCCUUCCAGAACUACACAGGGCCGGAAUGACCUGGAAAGGGGCUACUCCUUCUCUUACAUUCAGGGUAACCUCAGGCAACUCACCAAAGCCUCUCCCCAAGCCUCAGUUUACCCAAGUGUGAAAUGGGGAUAUUGGUGAAACCAGCUGUGAGGCGCAAUAAAUAAGGCACAGUUAUUGAUGGAACUAGGGUUCAUCUCCAAGAGAAAGACAAAUCCCGCCAACGUGACCCCCACCUCCACUCCCGGGCUUGUUCCACCCAAAGCCCCAGCGCCGCUGCGAAUAGGCAAGCCCGGGAGAACAGGGUAUCACGCAGGGUAUCAUCUCAGAAAUCCUGGGAAGAGCUCCCAGACAGGAUGGGACGCGGCGGACCCUUCUCACCCACCCAACCUCCGGCCAGCGCCCAUACCGGUGGGCGGUCCUCCCAGGCUCGGGUCAGCACGACCCAUCUGAGCCAGGGGGCGCCUCUCUCCAGCCUCGGGCCAGGUCCAUCUCCGCUCCUCCCACCGUCCGGAGUCCGGAGAGCCCCUAAGGAUCUUACAGCUUGGAGGAAUCAGGAGCCAGCCUACCCUUUGCCACCUGAGGACCCCCAGAGACAGCAGGAACGGAUUGAACAGCGUGGGACGGUCACCGGGCAUCCGCCAGGAGGUCACCAGUCGGCCCUUGAGCGGGCUCCCAGCCUUGCCCUCUGCUGGUCUCUUGUCUGCCUGUCAAACAGGGUCCAGUGUUGGCCCACAGGUCUCUUUGGCAGGAUGGGGAGUCCCUGACUACAGCCUCCCCUGCCCAUUCUUCCACGCCCACCUCAAAGGCCCAGGGUUCCCAUCUUCCUUCUCUCACAGAGCUACGGAGAACAGAGCUUGUUACCUUGUUCACACUAUAUGGUGUUUGCCUGACAGGGCUCUUGGGGCUCAGCACCGAUGGGGACAUGAUCUUCACCACCUUAAAGUCAAACCCCAGGUGGCCAGCAGGCUAUAGAUGUGUGUUCAGCCCGCACAGGGUUUUCAGAUUAUUUUACAUUAGGUUCUAUUGUUAAAUAAGCAAGAGAUUUAACAUAUAA